GAGAAUUUUUCACAAUGGGCGAAAGCCUGAUGGAGCGACGCCGCGUGGGGGAUGAAUGGCUUCGGCCCGUAAACCCCUGUCAUUUGCGAGCAAUGGUUUUCCGUUAACAGCGGGAAACUUGAUAGUAGCGAAAGAGGAAGGGACGGCUAACUCUGUGCCAGCAGCCGCGGUAAUACAGAGGUCCCGAGCGUUGUUCGGAUUCACUUGGCGUAAAGGGUGCGUAGGUGGUAGGGUAAGUUUGAUGUGAAAUCUCCGGGCUUAACCCGGAAAAUGCAUUGAAUACUAUUCUGCUAGAGAGUUGUAGGGGGGACUGGAAUUCUUGGUGUAGCAGUGAAAUGCGUAGAUAUCAAGAGGAACACCAGUGGCGAAGGCGAGUCCCUGGACAACUUCUGACACUGAGGCACGAAAGCUAGGGGAGCAAACA
Molecule: ribosomal RNA, 424 nt
Filed under: uncultured prokaryote
Description: bacterial SSU rRNA
Rfam family: Bacterial small subunit ribosomal RNA
Source: RNAcentral